This 567-nucleotide small RNA is filed under the name Pongo abelii (Sumatran orangutan). Its description in RNAcentral is "retained intron". Lineage: Eukaryota; Metazoa; Chordata; Mammalia; Primates; Hominidae. The record is from RNAcentral.
UCUUACUUACUUGUGUUUAUAUUGCCUAGAAUGAACUAUUUGAAAAAGCUAAAAAUGAAAUCCUUGAUGAAGUUAUCAGUCUGAGCCAGGUUACACCAAAACAUUGGGAGGAAAUCCUUCAACAGUCUUUGUGGGAAAGAGUAUCAACUCAUGUGAUUGAAAACAUCUACCUUCCAGCUGCACAGACCAUGAAUUCAGGAACUUUUAAUACCACAGUGGAUAUCAAGCUUAAACAGUGGACUGAUAAACAACUUCCUAAUAAAGCAGUAGAGGUUGCUUGGGAGACCCUACAAGAAGAAUUUUCCCGCUUCAUGACAGAACCCAAAGGGAAAGAGCAUGAUGACAUAUUUGAUAAACUUAAAGAGGCCGUUAAGGAAGAAAGUAUUAAACGACACAAGUGGAAUGACUUUGCGGAGGACAGCUUGAGGGUUAUUCAACACAAUGCUUUGGAAGACCGAUCCAUAUCUGAUAAACAGCAGUGGGAUGCAGCUAUUUAUUUUAUGGAAGAGGCUUUGCAGGCUCGGCUCAAGGAUACUGAAAAUGCAAUUGAAAACAUGGUGGGUCCAG